AACGAACGCUGGCGGCAUGCCUAACACAUGCAAGUCGAACGAGACCUUCGGGUCUAGUGGCGCACGGGUGCGUAACGCGUGGGAACCUGCCUUUAGGUUCGGAAUAACUCAGAGAAAUUUGAGCUAAUACCGGAUAAUGUCUUCGGACCAAAGAUUUAUCGCCUUUAGAUGGGCCCGCGUAAGAUUAGCUAGUUGGUGGGGUAAAGGCCUACCAAGGCGACGAUCUUUAGCUGGUCUGAGAGGAUGAUCAGCCACACUGGGACUGAGACACGGCCCAGACUCCUACGGGAGGCAGCAGUGGGGAAUAUUGGACAAUGGGCAAAAGCCUGAUCCAGCAAUGCCGCGUGAGUGAUGAAGGCCUUAGGGUUGUAAAGCUCUUUUACCCGUAGAUAGAUAAUGACAGUAUCGGGAGAAUAAGACUCC
This 423-nucleotide ribosomal RNA is filed under the name uncultured bacterium. RNAcentral's name for it is "bacterial SSU rRNA". It matches the Rfam family "Bacterial small subunit ribosomal RNA", at positions 29 to 495 of the family's 1533-position model. The record is from RNAcentral.